CCAACUAUGAGAAAAUAGUAUGAUAAGAAUUUAAAAUCAUAAGUGAAGUGAAUAAAUAUAUCCUGGAUAAAGUCACAUAGACUUUUGCUAUUAAUAGUUGAAUACAAGGCAUAAGUGUUUUCGUAAUGCAGUUUUCUUUUCUUGCUGCACAAAAAAAAAAGAUAGCAAUAAUUGUAACAUUUACCUAUGUGCAUUUUAUAUGAACAUGGUUUUCCUUGAGGGACAAACAGGGUGCACCAUUGCUUAAACUAACCAGUACAUCAUCCAAGCAGAAAUAAUAGCAUCCACAAGCAGAUUCAGACCAUAACAGUAUGUCAAUAUUCACCCAGCAUCCAGCCAUACUUGUCAAGAUGCGAUUACUCUAAUUCAUUAUCUAACAGGUUGGAAAAGUUAUGCCACAUGUGCUGAGUGCAUAACUUAUAAACAACUUACACAGCAAAAUACUAAAUCGGUCCACACUACGGCUAUGUUUAGUUCCUCUCACUAAAUUUGUCUCCGUCACAUCGAAUGUUUGAAUGCUAGUUAGAGUAUUAAUCUAAUCUAAUGACAACUAAUUACACAGAUGGAACUAAAUGACAAGACAGACCUAUUAAACUUAAUUAGUCCAUGAUUCGCUCAUGUGAUGCUACAGUAAACAUUUGACAAUCAUGAUUAGGGUUUAGACUUAAGGGUGUUAUGGUCGGGCAGACAUACAAGAGUAGGGAUAAGGAUGACGAGUCCUAGGCCGCUUGAAGGGAUAAGUCUGCUAUAUGAUAGUUUGUUAAGAUAGGGGUUCAAGCUGAUUAGAUCAGCCUAUUUGUUAGGAGAUUUCAGUUGGCCAUAGGCCUAUAUAAGUAGGACUUUUGUAAUCUGCCAGGUAGGCAAGAAGUAAUAAAGAUAUUGCUCCCUGCCCCUUGUUCACAUACCUGCCUCUCCUCUCGGGUAGCCACGGCGCCUGGACCAUCUUCCAGGCGACGAGCCACCACGCCCCAGCCCCCAGUUUCCCACCAAUACAACCUGCACAGUACCGUCCAUACCAACCUGGUAUCGGAGAUGCCGGGCUCAGAGGCGUCACCAGCAACCACCGUCGGGGAUGCAGAAGUCAGAGAUCUUCAGCCGGCGGCCUCCCAGACCAAUGAGAUGGCAGAUUUGAAGCGGAUGAUGACACAUUUCCAUCGUCGGAUGGUGCAACAGAUGUCAUCCCUAACAGCUCGGAUGGCUGCCAUGGAAGGGGCCUCAUCUUCAACACCGUCGGUUCCCAACCCUCCAGGUUUUCUGUACGGGGUGCUAGGAUUCGGCGGCAUCCUGCCAAGAACCACCUCGCCGCCAACCACCGCCCUUGCAGCCCCUACCACAUCCUUCGUUCCUAUCCACCAGAUCAACUUUCCGCCAUCACCUUCACCGCUGCCCACCUUCUCCACCACACCCCCUCGCACUUCCAUGACCAACUGCCAUGCGCCGCCGCCGCCCCAUACUCCAAGAUUCCCCAAUUUGGAAAUGUCUCUCUUCGACGGUAAAGAGGAUCCACUGGGAUGGCUCAAUCGAUGCGAACAAUACUUUCGUGGCCAGCGCACGGUUGAAGAAGAUAAGGUCUGGUUAGCCUCCUAUCACCUGACGGGCGCAACACAGCAAUGGUACAAUCUGUUGGAGCGCGAGGAGCCUUCCCUGUCCUGGCCACGCUUCAAGAAUCUGUGCCACCAGCGGUUUGGUCCUCCCCUCCGACAGAAUGCCCUCGGCGAGUUGGCUCGGCUAUCUUUCCGGACGACGGUGGAAGACUACCAAGAUCGCUUCAUGGCCCUGCUCUACCAUGUGGCUCCCCUAGCACCAGAAUAGCAGGUGCAACUGUUUACCGCGGGACUCCCUGACCUGAUUCGCAUCAACGUGGAGUUGCUCAAUCCGCCAGACCUCAAUACGACACUCGCAACAGCACGGGCAUACGAGCGCCGAUCACAGAGCUUGCCAUGGGGCCACCUGCCAGCAGGAGAGAGGGAACCACGGCCCACACCUCGCCCUGCAGCCACGGGAACAUCUGUUUUAGAGCAGUUAGCCAGCUCAAAACUCCCCCAGCAGUCGACACAGAGAUUCAAACGUCUGACACCCACGGAAAUGGACGAGCGCCGCAAGCAAGGCCUCUGUUACAAUUGUGAUGAGCAAUAUUUCCGGGGGCACCCUUGUCAGUGUCCGUCCGAAGAAGAAGACCCAUCAACAAUAGAGCAUGUGCUCUCACUCCAUGCUUUUAUGGGAACCUGGACAGAAGACACAAUGCAGAUCGUGCUCUCUAUACAUGGCCAUCACCUGACAGCAUUGCUAGACUCGGGCUCCACACAAUUUCCUCGACCUAGCCUCAUUGAAGCGACUGGACAUCACUAUGGGACUGUCACCAAUGGCGAAAGAGUGGCCUGCAAGGGAUUCACAGAGGCCAUGCCAGUCGUCAUCGGCCACGAGCAUUUCGCAAUACCCUGCUACACCAUUCCAUUGGACAGUUUCGACGUCAUCCUGGGGGUUAAUUUCCUCCGAACGCUGGGUCCAAUCUUAUGGGACUUUGACGACCUCUGUAUGCCAUUCUGGCAUGGGGGUCGGCGGGUCUUUUGGAAGGGACUUGGAUCACCACGCAAUGACAUCCAUGAACCAGCUACUCGUUCACUACAGAUGGCAGACCCUCAGAUGAUGGAGCAACUAUUGCAGUCAUUUGAAUCAGUGUUUCAAGAACCACAAGGGCUUCCCCCAGCCCGCCACUGCGAUCAUAAGAUUCACCUAAAAACAGGGACACGAUCAGUGGUUGUUAGACCGUACAGGUAUCCACAACUGUAGAAAGAUGAAUUGGAACGGCAGUGCACAACUAUGCUCACACAAGGGAUUAUCCGACCCAGCACAUCUGCAUUUUCUGCUCCUGUCCUUUUGGUAAAAAAAGCGGACAAUUCUUGGCGCUUUUGUCUAGAUUAUAGAGCUUUGAAUGACUGCACAAUAAAAGAUAAAUACCCAAUACCCGUGGUUGAUGAGCUCUUAGAUGAACUCCAUGGGCACACACUACUUCACCGAUUUGGACCUCCGCUCGGGGUAUUAUCAAGUAUGGGUACAUCCAAAGGAUGUGGAGAAAACAACUUUUCGUACUCAUCAUGGUCACUUCAAAUUUCUGGUUAUGCCGUUUGGACUGUCCAAUGCUCCCUCAACAUUUCAAAGCUUGAUGAAUGAAGUCCUAGGGCCGUUCCUGUGGCGGUUUGUGCUCGUAUUUUUUGAUGAUAUACUGAUUUUUAGUACUAGGACCGAGCAUUUGCGCGAUGUUGCAGCAGUCAUGGACACCCUCCGGAGCAACAACCUAUUUGUCAAACGAUCCAAAUGCAUAUUUGGGGCCAGCUCCAUUGCAUAUUUGGUACAUGUAAUAUCAGCACAAGGAGUGGCCAUGGAUCCAGAUAAGGUAGAAGCAGCCAUUACCUGGCCGCAACCACUCUCUGUUCGGGGAUUGCGGGGAUUUCUGGGUCUCGCAGGGUACUACAGAAAAUUCAUACAUAACUUCGCAGUCAUAGCAGCACCCCUUACACAGCUUUUGCGCAAAGAAGGCUUCAAAUGGACUGAAGCAGCCGAGUCGGCCGAGUCCGCCUUUACAGCCUUCAAAACAGCAUUAACAGCAGCAUCUGUACUCCAGCUACCAUCAUUCACCAAAGACUUCAUGGUUGAUUGUGAUGCAUCCGGCACAGGCUUUGGGGCAGUCCUUCAUCAGGGAACAGGACCCAUUGCAUUCUUCAAUCGUCCUUUAUCAGCUAGACACCACAAAUUAGCAACAUAUGAAAGAGAGCUUAUUGGUCUCGUACAAGCAGUACGACACUGGCGGCCAUAUUUGUGGGGACGCCGCUUCAUCAUACGAACAGACCACUAUAGUCUCAAGUUCCUCCUCGACCAGCGACUCUCCACAAUCCCGCAGCACCAGUGGAUUAGUAAAAUCCUUGGGUUUGAUUUCUCUGUCCAGUACCAGCCAGGUCGCCUCAACACAGUAGCAGAUGCACUCUCCCGUCACGAUGCGGACACCCUUUUCUCUGCGGCUCUAUCGGGACCAACUUUUACCCUCUAUGAUGACCUCCGAAGGGACACUGCCCAGGACCCAGACUGCCAAACCAUGUGCACCCAGAUUCGAGAGGGAACCUUGCCUCCCCCAUGGCGGGUGCAGGACGGUCUCAUUCUCCAUGGUCGACGCAUUUAUGUGCCAACAUCAUCAGAUUGUUUGACGGCGCUGUUGCAAACAAUCCAUAAUGCAGGCCAUGAAGGGAUUCAGAAGACACUUACCAGACUAAGGGCUGAUUUCUAUAUCCCACGGGACAAAGCUCGAGUUCGAGACUUUGUUAAGUUUGUACAACAUGUCAACGCAACAAAACAGAGCAUCUGCACCCAGCGGGCCUCUUACAGCCAUUGGACAUUCCCUCACAGGUGUGGGCAGAUAUCUCAAUGGACUUUGUUGAAGGAUUGCCACGAGUUCAUGAAAAAUCUGUGAUCCUGAUAGUAGUGGAUCGAUUCUCCAAAUACACCCAUUUCAUUGCACUUAGUCACCCCUACACCGCAGCUUCUGUUGCCAGGAUCUUCUUUGCGGAAAUUGUUCGUCUUCAAGGAAUCCCCUCAUCCAUUGUGAGUGAUCGGGACCCGGUCUUCACUAGCCAUCUAUGGAAGGACUUAUUCAAGCUGACUGGCAGCAAACUCCGGUUAAGCACUGUGUUCCACCCCCAAACAGAUGGUCAAUCUGAAGUCGUCAAUCGCACAAUUGCUAUGUACUUGCGAUGCAUCACAGGAGAUCGACCUCGUUCCUGGCUGGACUGGCUUCCAUGGGCGGAAUAUUGCUAUAAUACAUCCUUCCACUUAGCACUGCAGACUACAUUCAAAUUGGUCUACGGACGUGAGCCUCCGGCACUGGUACCAUACCAACAGAGCACAGCGCAAUCCCAAACCGUGGAAGACCUGCUACAAGACUGAGACAAUUUCCUGGCAGAGGUGCGGGACCGUCUUCUUCAAGCACAACAGCAUGCCAAGCGUUGGUAUGACAACCAUCACCGGGAAGUGGCUUUCGAGGUAGGAGACUGGGUCUGGCUUCGACUCUACACAUGCCAAUGCGCUCCCUGGUUGACAAAGCACACAGCAAGCUGGCACCAAAGACUCUUAAAGGCAUUUCACGGCACUCCAUCAACAGAGAUUCCACAAUUGCCCCCAACAGCACAGGGCCGCUUAUUGCCAGUACCAGACAAGGUCCUAAAGGCUAGUCUUUGUCGAGGCAUUUGGCAUGUUCUCGUCCAAUGGGGAGGCAUGGCCACCAAGCAAGCUACAUGGGAACCACUGCAGAAGUUCAAGGACCAGUACCCAGAUCAUCAGCUCGAGGAUGAGCUGUUCUUGAAGGCGGGGAGAGAUGUUAUGGUCGGACAGACAUACAAGAGAAGGGAUAAGGAUGGCGAGUGUUAGGCCGCCUGAAGGGAUAAGUCUGCUAUAGGAUAGUUUGUUAAGAUAGGGGUUCAAGCUAAUUAGAUCAGCCUAUUUGUUAGGAGAUUUCAGUUGGCCAUAGGCCUAUAUAAGUAGGACUUUUGUAAUAUGCCAGGUAGGCAAGAAGUAAUAAAGAUAUUGCUCCCUGCCCCUUGUUCACAUACCUGCCUCUCCUCUCGGGUAGCCACGGCGCCUGGAC
Molecule: long non-coding RNA, 5632 nt
Filed under: Zea mays
Lineage: Eukaryota; Viridiplantae; Streptophyta; Magnoliopsida; Poales; Poaceae
Description: long non-coding RNA (ZMAY_LNC002064)
Source: RNAcentral